Long non-coding RNA from Triticum aestivum (bread wheat), 1944 nucleotides. RefSeq lists it as uncharacterized. Lineage: Eukaryota; Viridiplantae; Streptophyta; Magnoliopsida; Poales; Poaceae. The transcript is spliced from 2 exons. The record is from RefSeq and is a predicted model, not a curated record.
CGCACAUCCCACGCCCCAUCUCCCCCAACCGCUUGCCUCCACUUCGAUCUCCCCGCACAGAAAAAUCGCCACCCCGCCUCGCCCUGACACCAAUCUACCACGACGAAUCGCCCUUCUCGGCCGCCGCCCACGGUUCGUUUCCAUCGUUGCCUCGUGCCUCCCCUUGUUCUUACGGUUGGGGUCGGUGUGGGAGGAGGCCCGGGGAAACCAUAGGGUCUCACACGGGACCGAAAGGAGAGGUGGCAGCACCGGUGAGCUCGCAACCGUCGUGCACGUCGACAAUGGCGAAGGCGAGACCGGCGUCCACACACGGCGAUGACGUCGCAGAUCCACAAAUCAGAUGCAGGCAAUUCUAAGGCUCUUCUAUAAUCUCGUCUCUUCUUCCUUUCUGCCUUUUCUAUCGCGAUCUGCUCGUGUAUGUCCUACGAUUUGUCGUUGACUGGUGUGCCGCUCUGGAUCUCGGUUGUAGGCCGGUGAUGACCACUGUCUCGGAUUCCUUCUUCGAGGUCCUCAGAUUUCUUAAUAAGGUGUGUGAUUGAUCGUCCGAGUUACUCUGGAUGUGGCUGGUGCUCGCGGUAGCGGCAGAGUGGCGUGCGCGAGCGCGGCGUAGGCAACGACCAAAGUCGCGUCAGUCAUUGUGAGCACGCCGUCCAGGCGACACAUCAAGUUCGACAGUGUUCCCUCCAAACUCCUAAGGUAUGUGGCCAGUGAAGAUCCAACGUCUUCAUUGCCUACGAGCCUACGGCGGCCGGAGCACAACAUGGCUUGCACCAAAUCUGGCUGCUAGAGAUAGCCCAGUGCUGAAGUCUCGGUUUCAAUUUUGGUUUUAGCAUUUCCCAAUUCUUCAGUAAUUUCCCUGCAAGUGUCGCCGAGGGUGUCGAGUGCGACAGAGAUUACCCACUUCUUCCUAUCCUACUACAUUUGGACAAUGACACUCAGUUCUAGCAAAAACUGCAACCUAACAUAAUGUCACUCAAUGAUGUUCUAUGUCUGUAAGCUUUUGAGCUGUUGUCUUGUACCUUCUUUAAGAGCAGAUACAACUUGUACGAUGAUAUUCCUCUAUGGGUUGUAUAGUUAAGAAUGGAUUCACUUGCUACGUAGAUUGCAGUUGAGGUGAAGCUCAAUGUGACGGGACCAACUUGUCAUUAAUUUUCUCCAUAAAUUGCAGCUGAGGUGAAGCCAUGGUUUACUUUCCAUUAGUGAAAUGAAAGAAAGAGAAAAAAAAAACAUGCGGCAUAUUUGUUUGUCCACAUCACGUGAUCCUCACCAUGUUCAUUUGUUAAGAGAAACAGAACACCGUGCCACUGUAAUGUUUCAAAUAUUCUAUGGUUUACUUAUUUAUUUUAGAAAAAAAUGUAUUUCAGCAUGUUGUUUGAUGAUCACCCUUUUUUAGAUCGUUAUUAUCCUAUUUUAAAUAAAUACAUCAGAGUUGUGUUUAAAUGUGCAUUACUUUUUCUUUAUGUGACCUCUAUUCAGUUCUACUUUAAUUUGUUGCAAUGCAGGGGACAGAGUGCAUCUUGCAAGAACUUAAUCUAUUUCUUUGCACGAAGCUUCCGGCCGAAAGCCCCACUUUACAUUUUGCAAAGGAUGUGACUCGCAGUGCAGCAACACUGUUUCAGUGACCUCUCCUGCUCACAUUGAUCGCCAAUGUCUUUGCCGUAUGUGCCAUCUUGCUGCUAUCUGAUCAGUGUCAUCACCACGCCGACGCUUGCCGUUGUUAGAUCUAUCAACAUGCGUCCAUUGCUCCAUUACGUUGAUUUCUUUUUUUUUCAAUAUAUGUUGCACAAGGCUCUAGGAGCCAGGAUUCUUAUGACUGAUGCCGUACUACUUAUGCUGGUUUGCGGGCUAUAAUUCUAGAAUUUCUUCUCAAGACAUGAAAUGUUUGAAUUAGCAGAAAGAAUGAGCUAUUGGGUCACAUGUUAAUGAGUUAUGCAUUAAUUUCAA